UGAGUUUGAUCAUGGCUCAGGAUGAACGCUGGCGGUCUGCUUAACACAUGCAAGUCGAACGAAGUCUUCGGACUUAGUGGCGGACGGGUGAGUAACGCGUGAGAAUCUGCCUCCAGGUCGGGGACAACAGUUGGAAACGGCUGCUAAUCCCGGAUAAGCCGAAAGGUAAAAGAUUUAUUGCCUGGAGGGGAGCUCGCGUCCGAUUAGCUAGAUGGUGAGGUAAGAGCUCACCAUGGCGACGAUCGGUAGCUGUUCUGAGAGGAAGAUCAGCCACACUGGGACUGAGAA
This 288-nucleotide ribosomal RNA is filed under the name uncultured cyanobacterium. Its description in RNAcentral is "partial 16S ribosomal RNA". It matches the Rfam family "Bacterial small subunit ribosomal RNA", at positions 1 to 325 of the family's 1533-position model. Lineage: Bacteria; Bacillati; Cyanobacteriota. The record is from RNAcentral.